RNAcentral lists this ribosomal RNA (477 nucleotides) under uncultured Planctomycetota bacterium. RNAcentral's name for it is "bacterial SSU rRNA". It matches the Rfam family "Bacterial small subunit ribosomal RNA", at positions 365 to 832 of the family's 1533-position model. Lineage: Bacteria; Pseudomonadati; Planctomycetota. The record is from RNAcentral.
UUCGCAAUGCCCGAAAGGGUGACGAAGCGACGCCGCGUGUGGGAAGAAGGCCUUCGGGUUGUAAACCACUGUCGGGAGUUAAGAAAUGCAAGGAUAUGAAUAGUGUCUUUGCUUGACUAAGGCUCCGGAGGAAGCCACGGCUAACUCUGUGCCAGCAGCCGCGGUAAUACAGAGGCGGCAAGCGUUGUUCGGAAUUAUUGGGCGUAAAGGGCAGGUAGGUGGUUAAGUAAGUCUGAUGUGAAAUCCCAGAGCUCAACUCUGGAACUGCAUUGGAAACUGCUUGACUUGAGUACUGGAGAGGUGAGGGGAAUUCUCGGUGUAAGGGUGAAAUCUGUAGAUAUCGAGAGGAACACCAGUGGCGAAGGCGCCUCACUGGCCGGUUACUGACACUGAGUCUGCGAGAGCUAGGGGAGCAAACGGGAUUAGAUACCCCGGUAGUCCUAGCCGUAAACGAUGGGCACUAAGUAGAGGGGUUUU